RNAcentral lists this ribosomal RNA (465 nucleotides) under Vreelandella stevensii. RNAcentral's name for it is "partial 16S ribosomal RNA". It matches the Rfam family "Bacterial small subunit ribosomal RNA", at positions 338 to 795 of the family's 1533-position model. The record is from RNAcentral. Lineage: Bacteria; Pseudomonadati; Pseudomonadota; Gammaproteobacteria; Oceanospirillales; Halomonadaceae.
CCUACGGGGGGCUGCAGUGGGGAAUAUUGGACAAUGGGGGGAACCCUGAUCCAGCCAUGCCGCGUGUGUGAAGAAGGCCCUCGGUUUGUAAAGCACUUUCAGUGAGGAAGAACGCCUGGUGGUUAAUACCCAUCAGGAAAGACAUCACUCACAGAAGAAGCACCGGCUAACUCCGUGCCAGCAGCCGCGGUAAUACGGAGGGUGCGAGCGUUAAUCGGAAUUACUGGGCGUAAAGCGCGCGUAGGUGGCUUGAUAAGCCGGUUGUGAAAGCCCCGGGCUCAACCUGGGAACGGCAUCCGGAACUGUCAAGCUAGAGUGCAGGAGAGGAAGGUAGAAUUCCCGGUGUAGCGGUGAAAUGCGUAGAGAUCGGGAGGAAUACCAGUGGCGAAGGCGGCCUUCUGGACUGACACUGACACUGAGGUGCGAAAGCGUGGGUAGCAAACAGGAUUAGAUACCCUGGUAGUC